Molecule: long non-coding RNA, 280 nt
Filed under: Nicotiana benthamiana
Lineage: Eukaryota; Viridiplantae; Streptophyta; Magnoliopsida; Solanales; Solanaceae
Description: long non-coding RNA (NBEN_LNC007183)
Source: RNAcentral
UUAAAUAGGAUUCUAAACUUGACCUUAAUUGCAUGCUCUAUACCUAUAUUACACUUGUACUGCUUUCUUAUGGUGUUAUAUGCAGCUUUACUUGAUUCCUUUCCUUAGUUUGCCACUGCUUAAUUGAGUAUGAUUCCUUAAUUAAAGGAAGUCUGUAUACUAAAGUGAUUCUAAUUAAAGUUUAUUUCAAUAAUUACUGUUGAACUAUUAUUUUUACCUUAUUUUUCUGCCUGCUUUCAAACAAUAUAAACUCUACUCGUUCAUCAGCAUAAGAUACGAA